Molecule: ribosomal RNA, 253 nt
Filed under: uncultured bacterium
Lineage: Bacteria
Description: partial 16S ribosomal RNA
Rfam family: Bacterial small subunit ribosomal RNA
Source: RNAcentral
UACAGAGGGGGCAAGCGUUGUUCGGAAUUACUGGGCGUAAAGGGCGCGUAGGCGGCCCGCUAAGUCGAACGUGAAAUCCCCGGGCUUAACCCGGGAACUGCGUCCGAUACUGGCAGGCUUGAAUCCGGGAGAGGGAUGUGGAAUUCCAGGUGUAGCGGUGAAAUGCGUAGAUAUCUGGAGGAACACCGGUGGCGAAGGCGGCAUCCUGGACCGGUAUUGACGCUGAGGUACGAAAGCCAGGGGAGCAAACGGG